RNAcentral lists this ribosomal RNA (492 nucleotides) under uncultured bacterium. RNAcentral describes it as "partial 16S ribosomal RNA". It matches the Rfam family "Bacterial small subunit ribosomal RNA", at positions 29 to 507 of the family's 1533-position model. The record is from RNAcentral.
AGUGAACGCUGGCGGUAGGCCUAACACAUGCAAGUCGAACGGCAGCACAGUAAGAGCUUGCUCUUACGGGUGGCGAGUGGCGGACGGGUGAGGAAUACAUCGGAAUCUACUUUUUCGUGGGGGAUAACGUAGGGAAACUUACGCUAAUACCGCAUACGACCUACGGGUGAAAGCAGGGGAUCUUCGGACCUUGCGCGAUUGAAUGAGCCGAUGUCGGAUUAGCUAGUUGGCGGGGUAAAGGCCCACCAAGGCGACGAUCCGUAGCUGGUCUGAGAGGAUGAUCAGCCACACUGGAACUGAGAAACGGUCCAGACUCCUACGGGAGGCAGCAGUGGGGAAUAUUGGACAAUGGGCGCAAGCCUGAUCCAGCCAUACCGCGUGGGUGAAGAAGGCCUUCGGGUUGUAAAGCCCUUUUGUUGGGAAAGAAAAGCAGCAGGUUAAUACCCCGCUGUUCUGACGGUACCCAAAGAGUAAGCACCGGCUAACUUCGUG